UUGAGAUCACAGCCUGAAGCAGUGAUGGAGCACCUGGUGAGGGGUGCAGCCCUGCCUGCACAGGUGGAAGCAAUGCAGCCGUGGGGCAGAUGGGGCUGAGCCUGGCUCCACCCCUCCCUCGCCUCAUUGAAGGGCUGGCAGCCCCACAGGCAGGGUUUCUUCCUGGAGAUGCCUCUUGUGGAUUGCUGGGUGAGCUCUGGUUCGGGGGAAGAGGUCAGCGAUUCUUUCUUGAUGGCUGUUGGGGUUUUGAUCUCUGCCUUUCUGUGGGGAUUGUAAGCUGGUUUACGGUAGCUCUGUCAGCUCUGCCUCUGCUUCUGAUGCCUUCCACUUGUUCUCUGAGGGCAGUCAAGGGGUUCUCUGCCUUUCUCUGAACUGGUAACGGAGGGACUGAUGGACGUUCCUUUCUUUUGCUCUCAUCUGUUUCGGGAACGCUUCAGUCAGCCUCAAGGUGACGCUGGUUGGUUGACUGAGCGUUGCGACUCCAGAAAUGCCUGGAGCUGAUGCACUGUUCUGUAAAGGGAUUCUGUGUUCUGCAGAGUUCCUCUGCAACUCUUUCUAAGCUCAACACCUUCUUGUGACGUCUCUGUUCCCUCUUUCGUGAUUCUCAUUGUGGGAUCUCCAACCUGGGCCUCCAAACUCACUCCGUCUGCUCCCACAUUGCCGCAGCCCAUUUUAUGACACGUUCCCUCUGCGUCCUCGCGUCCUCCCUGUGUCCUCUGCCUGUGUCCCCUCUGCGUCUCCUGUGCCACGCAUUCAUUCCACCUGUGCUGAGUGUUGUUUGAGGGCACGCAUUUCAAUUCCGUUCCGCAUCUCGUUGGAUCUCCUUCUGUUUUGCGGCUCAAUGGGGUCGAAGGGUUUCUGGGGCUCCUCUGGUUAGUGGUUCCAGCGCUGUGCAAUCUGUGGGGCGGACGCUGGAACGGCAGGAACCCCUUGUUCAUGCGUUGCUUGUAUGCGGGUGGGUUUUGGGCCGGCUGUGGGCAGCUCCCUUGGAGAUGCAAUGGGGGUUGGUCCCCAGGGCUUGCCCUGCUCCCUGCCCUUUGUCCUUGCAGCCCCAUGAGCUCCGUGGCUGGCGAUAGAGCGAGGUGUGUGGAUGCGGCUGGGAGCUGAGCUGCAGGAAAGCCCUGGGCCCCAGCGGCCGUUUGCUUCAUCCUCACCCAGCGCCGUCCGCUCUGCGCUGCUCGAGCGCACUGAGCACAAGGAUUCAGUUCCUGUUUGGCCUGGUUCUCUCCCAGAUCUCCCUUAGGAAUUGGUCGGCAGCAACAGGUGUCAGGGCACGGCUCUGCGAGCGCCUUGUGGCCAACCCCCCCAGGCUCUCAGGGCUCUUUCUGUCGUGCUGGCAGAUGUGGCUUUGUAUUGAUAGGAAACAAAGGGCCGUCCUCUGCUGGAGCGCUGUGUCUGGAUCACCACAGAUAUCUCCAUCCCAGCCAUCAGGGGAUGCUGUCAGUUUCCCAGUCUGGAUGCCACCCAACCUCCCCAGCCCUCUUCCUUCCAUCCCUGCCCCCCGUUCCAUAGCAGCCCUGCAGCCAUGGCACCCAGCAGUGCAAUGCAGCAAUACCUCUGGUGCGCUGAAUGCUGGGGCCGGCACAGAGAGGCUCUGUGGCCGACGUGGAUCUUCCUGGUUGGACUGCUUGUGAGUUUCCUGGAGCUGUUGAGCACACGGGGUUCCCCGCCUGCCCUGAUUGCUUACAAGGCCAUCAAUGUCCUUUGUGUCGUCGUGCCUCACGGCUUCAGCUCCCUUUAGGUAUCGAAAGGCUGUUACCAGGUCGCCUUGGAGCCUUCACUUCUCCGGGCUGAACAGCCCCAGCUCUCUCAGCCUGUCCUUGGAGGAGAGCUGUUUGAUCCCUUGGUUCUGUUUUUUUUUUUUUUUUUUUUUGUGGCCAUCCUCUGAUGUGAUCCAACAGGUCCAUGUCUCUUCUGCACUGAGGACUCUACAUCCCGACAAAAUCUCUAGAUGUGGGAUUGUGCAGAAUAUGGACUCAGAUAAGGGAAGCCUCUUUACUUCACAGGUUCUACAGGAGCUGAUGAGAACUUCAGAAAUAAAGUGGGAGCUCCAUACUCCGUGGCACCCUCCUUCUUCAGGGAAUGUAGAAUGAAUCAAUCAGAUGCUGAAGAAGCACUUGUCAAAAUUGGUUUUAGAGACCAAACUACCAUGGACAAAGUGUUUGCCUGUAGCCCUUGUCAGAACACAAACCACUCACAGGAAAGGCUUAGGAGUAUCACCCUAUGAAGUGCUGUUUGAGUUGCUGUACUUGGGAAUGGUGAGAUGCCCGCUCUUGAAACCAAGGUGCACUCAUCCCGUGUAGGAGGCUGGUCCUAAUACACAUCUGGAAGGAGUCAAAGCUUCAGCCCGAGUGGGAUGGAAUGAACCAUUUCAGCGAUGCAGUGUUUCAGAAGGGAGAAAAGCACGGCGGGCACAACUGGAUUUCUGUGGUUGGUAAAGCUGUGCUGAGAAGUGGGCUGGCUGCUGCCCCUGGAAAUGUGUCUGCAGACUUUGCACCCAGAGGAAUGACUUUUCCCUGCAGGUUGGGCUUGUCUAAGGUGAUUUUUUCACGAGGAAAGAUUUGAAAUGCUUACUGCUAAUGGAAGAUGGAGAGAGGAAAAUCAAGUCAAAGGCACGCUAUGCAUAGCCAGCACGUAGCAUCUGCACCGCUCUCCCCCUGCACAAAGGAGGAGCAGCUCAGCAAGCUUGGCCUGGGCCAUGGAAGGGAGCAUACAAACAUCUGGACCAACCCCAACGGAGCUGCUUCUGCAGGAAUCCACGUGGGUUUUUUAAUGAAGAACAAACUCGCUGUGCAGCUUGUGAGUGAAUUCAUUCACACCUGUUAAUUGGCAUUCUUCUCUACCUGGAGCUGCAAUUGCAAUGGAUGCUUGUGGUCUGAUGUGCAGCCCCCUCUGAUGUGCUCAGAUGAGUCAAGUUGGCAAGGCCUGGCUCUCGGUUGGUGAGUUGUGCCCAAGUUCAGAGAGUUGACUCUUGUCGGCUUUGAGAUGCAUCUUCCAGUUGCACGCUGUGUUCUUCCUGUUGUGUUGAGCUCUUGAGCUCCAGCCCUAAGUCAGGAUGCAAGCGCUACCACAGAAGGGAUGGUUGAGAUUGGAAGUGCAGUGCAAAGGGCUGGAGCCAGCAGGAGCAGGGAUGUGAUCAUUCCCUGUACUCAGCUCUGGAGUGGUCCAACGCUGGAGCGGGCUGCUCAGAGACGUGCAGGUGUUCAAGAAACAUUAGAUGUUGUCCGGAGGGAUGUGGCUUAGUGGGAAAUAUUGGUGGUAGGUGGACAGUUGGACUGGAUGAUCUUGGAGAUCUUUUCCAUGCUUGCUAAUUUUAUGUUUCCAUGAAAGGCAUCUGCUGGUGAGAGCUUUGCUGGGUGAGCAUCACUCUGCUGGACAGCAGGCAGCUGUUGUCUGUGCAGACAGCCACAUCCAUGGGGAGUGGAGGCUUUUAACCUUAACCUUGUCUUUCAUGUCUCGUGUGCAGUAAGGCAUGUUGUUAUAAAGCACCAUCGUAGGGGCAACCUUGAUUUCUGCAGCCACCAGAGCACUCCCCCAUGCUUCUCCCUGUGGUGUGAGACCGUAUUGGAGGCCAUGCAGAAGCCUGGUCAUAACCAUGGAACCACAGAAGCGUUACCCAGGCAGAAGGAGCCUUUGUCACCUGGACUUCCUACCAAUGACCCAGGC
Long non-coding RNA from Lagopus leucura (white-tailed ptarmigan), 3666 nucleotides. RefSeq lists it as uncharacterized. The record is from RefSeq and is a predicted model, not a curated record. The transcript is spliced from 8 exons. Lineage: Eukaryota; Metazoa; Chordata; Aves; Galliformes; Phasianidae.